Molecule: non-coding RNA, 1506 nt
Organism: Xyrichtys novacula (pearly razorfish)
Lineage: Eukaryota; Metazoa; Chordata; Actinopteri; Labriformes; Labridae
Source: the annotation of a GenBank genome assembly
UGUGUGUGUGUGUGUGUGUGUGUGUGUGUAUGUGUGUCUGUCUGUCUGUGUGUGUGUGUGUGUGUGUGUGUGUGUGUGUGUGUGUGUGUGUGUGUGUGUGUGUGUGUGUGUGAGGUUGGAGUUUAGUUGGUGUUAAUUGUUGUUUUUCGCCUCUGUGAGGAACUUUGAACUGCGUUUGUCUGAAAAUAUAAAAUUGCUCAGACAGAUUGUUCACAAAGUUUGAGGAACCAAAAAUGAGAUUUCUCCACAUUGAAUUUAAUGUUUUUUUUGUUUGAAUCAGACUGAAGCAGCUGGUUAUCUUCCACACUGAAUACUUUAGUGCUAAAGGGUGUAGAAAGGGUGUAGAAAGGGUGUAGCAGCAGCAGCAGCAGCAGCAGGACCAGUUGGAACAGUCAGUUUGAAUUGGGACAAGGUAACCAGGAUACUGAGGAGUGUAAGCUUUCCCUUCAUCUGGCUUUAAACAAAUAUUGACUCGAGCUUUGAGGCAAAUAGGCUUUCAGGUAAAGAGUGACAUGUAGGAAGGACUCUCCCACUCAUGACGGUGCCUCUUAAAGGUGAUGACACCCACACAGGACAUGUACUGGGGAUUAACUGGAGUAAAGAGAGCCCCCCCAGACUAUGAGAAGAUAAAACAGCAGGCUUCAGCUUCAUUACUGCUGAUCAUGGGUUUAUUUUCAUCACAAACGGAUCCAAACUGCCUGUAACUUCAUUCAAAUAUAAGAAACGAUACUGAACAGACGGUUCAGACUCGGGUCUGACUCAGUGUUUGUUUUCUAAGAAAAUGAAAAUACCAAAGUUUAUUAGGGCUGCUGUGUGAUAAAGUUCCUCAUAUGAGCUGAGACAGUUUACUUCUUAGAACUGCAGGAUAUAAUAUUGUGUCUUCAUCACCUGAAUAAACCCCCUGAACCUCAGGAACAAUGAAAACAGAGCGGUUCACUUCUCUUUAUUCUGUUUUGGAGCAUCCAUAGAACAGAUGGCUCAUAUCAGAUGUCUGCUGAGUGUGGUUAAUGUUUAGUUAAUGAUUAACAUAUCCUUCCAUUAAGCCUAUCUGUGUGCUCCCUGCUGCCAGCCUGAGGCUUCAGGUCAUGACGUAGGAGACGGACAGUUAUGAAUAGACCCCCCAGUGGAAAAAACACGCUGUCAUCAUGAACGGGCCAUCCGGAAAAUGAUUAUCAAAUAAGAGCCAAACGAUGAGAUUAUCAGUCCUAUCACUGUAAAUGUCAACGUUUGGAGAUAUGAUUCGCUGCAGGGGAUGUUCAGACAGAAGGGUCUGUUUACUGAUAAACAGGUAAACAGUUAAAGAGCAGCGCUCUGACACAGGUCAAACACUCUCAUCUGUAGCUCUGUUACAGGUCAAACACUCUCAUCUGUAGCUCUGUUCUUUUUUACUCCAUCAUUCAGUCCCAGCAGGUAAAGUUCAUCAUAAUCAUGUGUGCGACAUCUGGAUUCAUGACCUGGUUUUUAUAUUUUUCUCAUACAAGAAAACAUUCAAACUGAGGGUUCAUC